CAGCCACAGCUCUUCUGACCAUUACUGUAAAUAGAAAUCUCCUGCCUCCUUCUUUCCCUAAUGGUAUUGAAACUGUAACUAUCAAUGAAAAUGAACCAUUAGGGUUCUCAGUUACACAACUGGUUGCUACUGAUGGUGAUCCUCGACCACCCAACAACGAAAUACGAUAUGUAGUUGCUGCAAACCCUAGUCGACCAGCUACUACUGCUGACGGCGGUGAUUACUUGUUUCUUAAUCCUGAAGAUGGUCAGGUUACUCUCAAACGAUCAGUCAGUGGAGUUGCUUUCAGUACUAUGCAGUUACUAGUGAGUGCUGUUGAUCGUGGUUUUCCUACAAGAACCGGUACAGUUCAACUUAAUGUUAUUAUACAGAAAGAUGAAGAUACCUUAACAACUACAAAUUAUAAUAGAAUCAUUCAGGAGAGUCUAGCUGUAGAUAGUACAGUAUUAGCCGUUAGUGCGUCA
Patella vulgata (common limpet) is the source of this 464-nucleotide long non-coding RNA. RefSeq lists it as uncharacterized. NCBI's taxonomy places the organism in Eukaryota, Metazoa, Mollusca, Gastropoda, Patellidae. The record is from RefSeq and is a predicted model, not a curated record. The transcript is spliced from 3 exons.